GAUGAACGCUGGCGGCGUGCUUAACACAUGCAAGUCGAACGGUGAAGGCGGAGCUUGCUCUGCUGGAUCAGUGGCGAACGGGUGAGUAACACGUGAGCAAUCUGCCCCUGACUCUGGGAUAAGCGCUGGAAACGGCGUCUAAUACUGGAUACGAGCUGCGAAGGCAUCUUCAGCAGCUGGAAAGAAUUUCGGUCAGGGAUGAGCUCGCGGCCUAUCAGCUUGUUGGUGAGGUAAUGGCUCACCAAGGCGUCGACGGGUAGCCGGCCUGAGAGGGUGACCGGCCACACUGGGACUGAGACACGGCCCAGACUCCUACGGGAGGCAGCAGUGGGGAAUAUUGCACAAUGGGCGAAAGCCUGAUGCAGCAACGCCGCGUGAGGGACGACGGCCCUCGGGUUGUAAACCUCUUUUAGCAGGGAGGAAGCGAAAGUGACGGUACCUGCAGAAAAAGCGCCGGCUAACUACGUG
Molecule: ribosomal RNA, 468 nt
Filed under: uncultured bacterium
Lineage: Bacteria
Description: partial 16S ribosomal RNA
Rfam family: Bacterial small subunit ribosomal RNA
Source: RNAcentral